GGAUGAUCCUAUUGUAAACAGCAUAACCUACAUUAUCCGAUGCAAUUUGCUUCUGUUCACCUUUAUGAGUAUGCUAACAAUAUUAUCUGGAACCGUAAGUAACUCCAAGCGUCCAAUCAUUUAUAGAAUAAACACUGAUAAUUCUACAGGCCACUAUCUUCCUAACGUCCUCCCAUUUUUCAUCCUUCAUUGAAACUGGCGCUCCAAGAAGAACAACUCCAUUAUCUCCUUCAGUUUCAGCCAAACAUUGGUGACAUUUGAAAAUUAUUUGGGGCCUCCACUGAGAAACCUGUACCAAUGCAAUCCCUUUAGCAAAAAAACUUUCCAGCUUUAUCAGAUCUGUCAACUCCAAUCGCCCAUUUUCUGUCCAUAAGACCAGUUGCAGUCAGUACAGCUGCUGGUAAAGCCAGUGCUGUUAAAAG
This 422-nucleotide unclassified non-coding RNA is filed under the name Hevea brasiliensis (rubber tree). The record is from RNAcentral. Lineage: Eukaryota; Viridiplantae; Streptophyta; Magnoliopsida; Malpighiales; Euphorbiaceae.